RNAcentral lists this ribosomal RNA (441 nucleotides) under uncultured bacterium. RNAcentral describes it as "bacterial SSU rRNA". It matches the Rfam family "Bacterial small subunit ribosomal RNA", at positions 358 to 796 of the family's 1533-position model. The record is from RNAcentral.
GGAAUAUUGGUCAAUGGACGAAAGUCUGAACCAGCCAUGCCGCGUGCAGGAUGACAGCCCUAUGGGUCGUAAACUGCUUUUAUAUAGGAAGAAACCCCUCUACGUGUAGAGGGCUGACGGUACUAUAAGAAUAAGGACCGGCUAACUCCGUGCCAGCAGCCGCGGUAAUACGGAGGGUCCAAGCGUUAUCCGGAUUUAUUGGGUUUAAAGGGUACGUAGGCGGAAUUUUAAGUCAGUAGUGAAAUCCUCUCGCUCAACGGGAGAACUGCUAUUGAUACUGAUAUUCUUGAAUAUAGUUGAAGUAGGCGGAAUACGGCAUGUAGCGGUGAAAUGCAUAGAUAUGCCGUGGAACACCAAUUGCGAAGGCAGCUUACUAAGCUACUAUUGACGCUAAGGUACGAAAGCGUGGGGAGCAAACAGGAUUAGAUACCCCAGUAGUCC